Molecule: long non-coding RNA, 1499 nt
Organism: Oncorhynchus tshawytscha (Chinook salmon)
Lineage: Eukaryota; Metazoa; Chordata; Actinopteri; Salmoniformes; Salmonidae
Source: Ensembl
GUUUAAUGCCGUGUUUAGCCAUUGGUCUCUUUCUUAUGUCUGGUCUUCACAAGAUAAGGUCACGGGUUGUUUUAUACGAGUAUCUUUCAUUUAUUUGCACCGUAAACUCAGUCCUUUGUCUGGACAAUUGUUCCUUUAUGAUCUAGUCAGGUCAUUACAACAGUAAAAUGCUCUAAACACACUUUGCUGUCCUGUUUUCCAAUCGUCCACAUGGCUGGGAGAACCUAUUCAAGUAGCUACCUAACAGCCAGAGAGGAGGGUGAAAGGAUAGCAGCCCCAACUGUGGAUAGAGCAGGUACUUUUGUGUAGUUCCAGUCCCUAGAAGUGAGAACCGAGAUAAUAGUAGUAUACUAUUCAGUGAGGUAUAAUGAAGUCUGUUUAUUGUGAGGUUUUCUGUCCUCGGUUACAGAGAGCUGUGAAAUCCUGUCUACUCAAAGGGGUGCACGUUUUUGCACUGCACAGCUGACACAAAUGAUCAACUCAUCAAGCUUCAAGUGGUAAUUAUGUAUUAAUUUGUGAUGCUGUCCUUGAUAUAGGCGGCAGGAUAGCCUAGUGGUUAGAAGUUUUGGACUCGUAUCCGAAAGGUUGUAAGAUUGAAUCCCUGAACUGACAAGGUAAAAAUCUGUCGUUCUGCACCUGAACAAGGCAGUUAACCCACUGUUCCUAGGCCGUCAUUGAAAAUAAGAAUUUGUUCUUAACUAGUCAAAUAAAAAUAGGAUCCUGCUAUUUACACAUGCAUCUAUCAAUCCAAUGUUAUCAUGAUUUGUUAUAAGGGAUAUUAUACUUUAGUAAGCCACAAUGACCUGGUGAUAUAAUGUCAAUAUUAGACUUAAAUUCCAUAUUCCUACGGAUACCUUGUAACUGGAGAUUCCUUCAAACCGAUUGCCUACAGUUAACAUGUAGGGCACUGCAAGGUUGGGUGACCAGGGCCAUCUGGGACUGCCUCCUGGAGGAAUUCAGGUGUGUGAAGGCUACCUGUGUCCUGCAUAACGUCAUGAGGAUGGACACGAGGACCAGGAGGAGGGGGGGGGUAUGUGUGCUGGAUUUCUUCACCACAUACUUUUUUGAGGAGGGUGCUGUUCCCUGGCAACACUGUAGACUACACUAUGCACAACCAAAGGCUCUUUUAAGAACCAUUCACAUUGCAGUAAGAGUAUUCUUCCAUUUACUUCGCUAUGUCAACUGCAGUUAUAUCAGUUUGAUCUCCAUCUCUUCAUUCAAAGACUCAAUCAUGGACACUCUUACUGAGUUGUUGCUGCUUUAUGUGAUGUAUUGUUGUCUUUACCUCCUUGACCUUUUGUGCUGUUUGUGCCCAAUAAUGUUUGUACCCUGUGCUCUUGUCAUAUUGUUACUACCAUGUUGUCAUGUUGAGUUGCUACCAUGUUGUCAUGUUGAGUUGCUACCAUGUUGUCAUGUUGAGUUGCUGCCAUGUUGUCAUGUUGAGUUGCUGCCAUGUUGUCAUGUUGAGUUGCUGCCAUGUUGUCAUGUUGAGUUGCUGC